UACAGAGGGGGCAAGCGUUGUUCGGAAUUACUGGGCGUAAAGGGCGCGUAGGCGGCCUGCUAAGUCGAACGUGAAAUCCCCGGGCUCAACCCGGGAACUGCGUCCGAUACUGGUUGGCUUGAAUCCGGGAGAGGGAUGCGGAAUUCCAGGUGUAGCGGUGAAAUGCGUAGAUAUCUGGAGGAACACCGGUGGCGAAGGCGGCAUUCUGGACCGAUAUUGACGCUGAGGAGCGAAAGCCAGGGGAGCAAACGGG
RNAcentral lists this ribosomal RNA (253 nucleotides) under uncultured bacterium. RNAcentral's name for it is "partial 16S ribosomal RNA". It matches the Rfam family "Bacterial small subunit ribosomal RNA", at positions 524 to 776 of the family's 1533-position model. The record is from RNAcentral.